UAAGACGAACCAUGCGAACGUUAUUCGGAAUUACUGGGCUUAAAGCGUGCGUAGGCGGCUCAGAAAGUUGGGUGUGAAAUGCCUCGGCUCAACCGAGGAAUUGCGCCCAAAACUACUGGGCUUGAGGGAGUUAGAGGUGAGCGGAACUCACGGUGGAGCGGUGAAAUGCGUUGAUAUCGUGAGGAACACCGGAGGCGAAAGCGGCUCACUGGGGCUUCACUGACGCUGAGGCACGAAAGCUAGGGGAGCAAACGGGAUUAGAUACCCCGGUAGUCCUAGCCGUAAACGAUGAGCACUGGGUCGAGGGGACCUCCACAUCCCCCCGGCCGUAGCAAAAGCGUUAAGUGCUCCGCCUGGGGAGUAGGUCGCAAGGCU
Molecule: ribosomal RNA, 375 nt
Filed under: uncultured bacterium
Lineage: Bacteria
Description: bacterial SSU rRNA
Rfam family: Bacterial small subunit ribosomal RNA
Source: RNAcentral